CCAAAAGCUGGCGACCGGCGCACGGGUGAGUAACACGUAUCCAACCUGCCUCAUACUCGGGGAUAGCCUUUCGAAAGAAAGAUCAAUAUCCGAUAGCAUAUAUUUCCCGCAUGGGUUUUAUAUUAAAGAAAUUCGGUAUGAGAUGGGGAUGCGUUCCAUUAGUUUGUUGGGGGGGUAACGGCCCACCAAGACUACGAUGGAUAGGGGUUCUGAGAGGAAGGUCCCCCACAUUGGAACUGAGACACGGUCCAA
This 252-nucleotide ribosomal RNA is filed under the name uncultured bacterium. RNAcentral describes it as "partial 16S ribosomal RNA". It matches the Rfam family "Bacterial small subunit ribosomal RNA", at positions 80 to 334 of the family's 1533-position model. The record is from RNAcentral.